Long non-coding RNA from Cygnus olor (mute swan), 3388 nucleotides. RefSeq lists it as uncharacterized. The record is from RefSeq and is a predicted model, not a curated record. Lineage: Eukaryota; Metazoa; Chordata; Aves; Anseriformes; Anatidae. The transcript is spliced from 3 exons.
CCUCCACAUGAGUGUUUGUGUCCUGAAAUGAGGGAAAAAAAAACCCACCUCUUAAAAGAGGGUUACUUUUUUUGCUGAUCCUAUUUAAAGUAAUCUUUCUCCUCACUGAGAACGUUCCCUUGGCGUUACUGCGGCUUUCCCCUCACUGAGGAUGUGCUCCUGGUGUAACUGCAGCUUUGUCCUCACUGAAAAAGUUCUUACAAAGCAUUUGUGUGGAUGACAGUGUUCGGUGGUCAUUCCACCCCUAAUCCCUGUGUGCUUUCAUGGCAAUUGCCCUCACGCCUUCACUGAGGAAAGACCAGCUGUUAGGAUGCACUAAUUGCAACAACUAGUUGUGACUGUAACCCAUUAAGGUUGGCACCUGAAAAGGUCUCUCUGAAAACUUUUAUCAGUAGCUCCGUAUUUUUCCAAAAUAACGUCUUCUCUAAUCUUAACAGUAGGCAUACAACACAGCAAGCAGGGAAGCGAUUGCUCCCAUUACCACCAAAGCCCUUGCCGCAGACCAACCUGCCUUUGGGGUCUGGAUCCAGGUCUGUUUCUCAGCAUUUUCCACUCCUGUCCUCACUGAGCCGCCUGGAGGCCUGUGACCUUCUGGUGCCUGCUUGACUUCUGCCACCACGGCCAGCUCUGGAGCUUGCUUUGGCUGGAGCGCCUGGAAGAUAUCUGCCUGAGGAGCCCUUAGAAUGGAGUUGGACCCUGCUGCAGGAGGGAUCAUAACAGUAUGGAAGAUGGUUCCCUUUAAAAGAGCUUGCAGCUGGAUACAUGUGACCUUACGAGAAGGAGUGGGAAAGAAUGUGGUGAGAAGCAACCACUAGAUUAUAGAGUCACUGUGAAGAAUUUCAUACUUAUACUUCAAUCAAGUAUACUUACCAGAGGUAUCUUUUGUUUGACAUGAACUUGUGUUUCACUUCCCAGGGCAGGUUCACUUCAGUUUUCUCCAAUGGACAACCACUUUAAUCGGUGACCUUUGCUGUAAGUUGCAUUGUCUAGUUUAAAAUUUGGGUUCUUGUUAUGCCUUUAUCCCCUAGCUUAAAGAGCAUGUUAGUACCUGCUGUUAUAUCCCUGUGAUGGUACUUCCAUAAUGUGAUCAUAUUGCCUCUUUUCUUGAAAGGCUGAAUAGAUUGGGCACCUGAAAUCUCUCCCCGGAGAGGAAUUAUUUAAAAUCAUUUUUAGGUUUCCUUUCUUAACCUUCUCCGGUAUUUCAAUAUCCUUUGAAAAAUGCAGAUACCAAGACUGGGCAGCUUCUAGUAUCUGUCUCGGUGAUGCUUCAUGCAGAGAGAAAAUUGCUUCUCUACUCCUACUUGUUACUCCUCUGGAACAUCUGAGGAUCGCUGCAUCCUCUUCGGGCCCUUUCUUUCCUUUCCUUAGGAGUAUAGCACAAUUCCUUCCCACUCUGCCUUUGUGUGCAGGAUAACAUACAUACAUACCAUUCUGCUCCUGAGAGGGUGGUGGUUUCAUUCAUAUUUUUGCAUUGAGUUAUACUUCAACUAAGCUCAUCUUACCUGGUUCUUCAUGUGUUACAUAUGUAAUGAGAAUGCCAUGUGUCGUUAUAUAACACACCUUUCAAAAAUCUGUUAUGACCAUGGCUGUGUAACUUUACUAACCACACAGAUAAUUUCCUCUCAAAAACAUAAAUCAUGUUUUCUUACAUCCCUUAAAACAAACAAAUAUACACUGUCUGGCAUCUACACAACUGAUUUUUUUUCUAUUGUCUUUUCGUUGGGGUUUGUUAACACCAGACUGACCAGUCUGUAACUAAGUGGCCACCAUAAUUUGGUUUUCUGGAUCUUUUCAGGAAACUGAGCAGUCAAUCUUUCAAGAUUUUCCUGUUAUGACAAGAUUUACUUCAAGUAGUGUCAGAGAGCUGGGUAUUUUCUCCACCCCCAGCCCACUCUUUUGGGAUUCAUUUGUACCAGUUUUCUGGGUUGGCUGGUUUUUGUAUGUUCUUAGGAGUUGCUUCUUAAUCUCUAUUUUAUGAGUCAAUGAUCUGAGAAAUACAUUCUCCUUUUCUUUCCAGAUAUAAAACUGAAAUAUUUAUCACCCAUUUAUACCUCUUCUGCCUUCUCUUCUAAUAAUACUUCUUACUCUUCCAAAUACACAAAUGCUUUAUUGCCCCUAGCCCUGCCAGACAUGGAUUUUUCCCUGCUGGAUUUUGCUGCCUCUAUAAAAUCUCAACACUUUUUAAUUAAUGUUGAUUGCCCUCUACUUUCCUUUCUCAACAUUAGUUUUACAUGGUAAGUUUUUCAUCUUAAUUGCUGACUUCACUUCUCUAGGAAUGGGCUUUCAAGCAAAAUUGUCCUCUUGAUUCCUGGUAGAUUUGCAGCUUUUUGGUAACCCACUAUACUUCCAUAUACAUUUCUCUAUUUUUUUCCCAUAUUUGUAACUCUUCCUCAGAAAAUCACUUUAUUUCCCCAAAGUUUAAAAAAAAAAAAAAAAAAACUAUUCAAAGCAGCAUGUGUGUGUAAAACAUGGUUAAGGCUGUUGACAGAAGACAGCUUAGAUCAAUGGCAGCUAUGAAUAUCAACUGGAAACGGGAAAAUAUUGCCACUAGUGAGAUACUUAUGCAUCUCAUCUCAGCCAAAGAGUAUGCCAUUUUUAGCAUCACAUUUUAAAAACAAGGUGGCUAAAAUAGGCAAUAUGUGUUAAUCUUGUGAGAUGUCCUUCUGUUACUGAACAUACUUAUGGAAAAGCAGAAUUUUUGCUGCUCACUUGCACUAAGAUGGACAGAGUCAGUUGCUAUCUGACCUUGUUUUAUCUUGGUAUGAAAGUCUUGGCCAAAACUCUUUUUGGGUGUUUUAUAUGUUAAAAUACACAAAUCUGGGCUUUCACUGAGCUAGGAUUAGGCUAUUCUUUUCUGCCUGUGUCUGUUGAGUCUGAGCGUUUCCAGAGAGCUGCUUUGUCAUUUUUGGAAGCUUUUGCUUUAGACGUUGUGCUCAUGCCAGAGCUCACCUGAUUUUGGUAAACGUGCUUGACAGUGACAUUCACAGCUGUAUAGGAAGUUACUCUGUCUGUACUUUAAAACCUGUACACAUGCGUUUAAAUAUACGUAACUUUGGAAGAGACACAAGUGACUAUCCCUGUGUGGAUUUUUCCCUGCUGGCUUUUGCUGCUCGGGACUACAGCUGUACAUUACAACGUUCAUGUUUGCAAGAGCAACAGCACUAUUCUUAAGAUGUUUCACAGACCUGUUUUUAUGAGGAAUCUAGCUCUGGCCCUAGACCACCUACCCCUCCGUGCUGCCGGUGGCCAGGAAAGCGGACAGACGUUUGGGCAACAGAGGCAGCAAGAUUUCUAAUUGGUUUGCCCGGUCGUACAGCAGUCAAAAAGCCAAACCCAACCCAGGCCAGGCCCGAAGGAAGACCCAGAGGCAGGCCGGCCUAACGGCGAG